GGCAGCAUAACUUAGCUUGCUAAGUUGAUGGCGACCGGCGCACGGGUGAGUAACACGUAUCCACCUGCCGAUGACUCGGGGAUAGCCUUUCGAAAGAAAGAUUAAUACCCGAUGGCUCCGCAUGGUUAAAGAAUUUCGGUCAUCGAUGGGGAUGCGUUCCAUUAGGUUGUUGGCGGGGUAACGGCCCACCAAGCCUUCGAUGGAUAGGGGUUCUGAGAGGAAGGUCCCCCACAUUGGAACUGAGACACGGUCCAAACUCUACGGGAGGCAGCAGUGAGGAAUAUUGGUCAAUGGACGAGAGUCUGAACCAGCCAAGUAGCGUGAAGGAUGACUGCCUAUGGGUUGUAAACUUCUUUUAUACGGGAAUAAGUGAGGCACGUGUGCCUUUUUGUAUGUACCGUAUGAAUAAGGAUCGGCUAACUCCGUGCCAGCAGCCGCGGUAAUACGGAGGAUCCGAGCGUUAUCCGGAUUUAUUGGGUUUAAAGGGAGCGUAGGCGGACGCUUAAGUCAGUUGUGAAAGUUUGCGGCUCAACCGUAAAAUUGCAGUUGAUACUGGGUGUCUUGAGUACAGUAGAGGCAGGCGGAAUUCGUGGUGUAGCGGUGAAAUGC
Molecule: ribosomal RNA, 609 nt
Filed under: uncultured bacterium
Lineage: Bacteria
Description: bacterial SSU rRNA
Rfam family: Bacterial small subunit ribosomal RNA
Source: RNAcentral